GUGUUUACUUUGGCAGCACAUAUACUAAAAUUGGAAUGAUACAGAGAAGAUUAGCAUGGUCCCUGAGCAAGGAUUACACACAAAUUCAUGAAGUGCUCUAUAUUUUU
RNAcentral lists this small nuclear RNA (107 nucleotides) under Castor canadensis (American beaver). The record is from RNAcentral. Lineage: Eukaryota; Metazoa; Chordata; Mammalia; Rodentia; Castoridae.